UACGUAGGGGGCAAGCGUUGUCCGGAAUCAUUGGGCGUAAAGCGCGUGUAGGCGGUCCGAUUAGUCGGCUGUGAAAGUCAAGGGCUCAACCCUUGAAUGCCGGUCGAUACUGUCGGACUAGAGUCCGGAAGAGGCAAGUGGAAUUCCCGGUGUAGCGGUGAAAUGCGUAGAGAUCCGGAGGAACACCAGUGGCGAAGGCGACACGCUGGGCCGUACCUGACACUGAACCGCGACAGCAUGGGGAGCAAACAGG
Molecule: ribosomal RNA, 253 nt
Filed under: uncultured bacterium
Lineage: Bacteria
Description: partial 16S ribosomal RNA
Rfam family: Bacterial small subunit ribosomal RNA
Source: RNAcentral